UACAGAGGGGGCAAGCGUUAUUCGGAAUUAUUGGGCGUAAAGGGCGCGUAGGCGGCUUUGCAAGUGACGGGUGAAAGCCCUCGGCUUAACCGAGGAACUGCCUGUCAGACUGUAAGGCUUGAGACCGGGAGAGGUGAGUGGAAUUCCCAGUGUAGCGGUGAAAUGCGUAGAUAUCAGGAAGAACACCAACGGCGAAGGCAGCUCGCUGGGACGGUACUGACGCUGAGACGCGAAAGCGUGGGGAGCGAACAGG
This 253-nucleotide ribosomal RNA is filed under the name uncultured bacterium. RNAcentral's name for it is "partial 16S ribosomal RNA". It matches the Rfam family "Bacterial small subunit ribosomal RNA", at positions 524 to 776 of the family's 1533-position model. The record is from RNAcentral.